Non-coding RNA from Caretta caretta (loggerhead turtle), 1012 nucleotides. The record is from RefSeq and is a predicted model, not a curated record. NCBI's taxonomy places the organism in Eukaryota, Metazoa, Chordata, Testudines, Cheloniidae.
AUUUUCCAUGCUGAGUCUCUGCCCCAGACUGAAUGUUUCUGGAAAGCUUCAGCAAUAAUGGUUUGGCCAUUAUCAAGAACAAGCAAAGUUCCAGAUCCUGGUGGGAACCCUGUAUCUGACAGGACUCCGAAGACAACCCCACUGGGCAAUGAAGGGAAGCAGAUUCUGAUGGACGAGGCUGUAUAACGAAGCAUGAUAUUGAUCUGUGGUUCAUGCUGACCACAGAGCCUAGCUGAAAUCAUUCUUUAGCUCUCUGCCCUAAACUCUGCCAGCUGGAACAUACAAACUUCCUACCGGCAUGGACAACCUUUGAAUACAGCAAGAAUUUAUCUCCAGAGUUAGGGGUGUCAGUCUGUCUGACCCUGGAGAUAAGUUAAUAGAAUGAACUAUGUAUGUUAUCAAUAAUAUCAUUUGAUAAAUACAGCCAAGGAUUUACAAGAUGACUAGUGAUUUUAGGUGCCUUUGUUUUGUGGAUAACUAACUGAGACCUCUUAAAGGAGCCUGAUUUACAGAAAGUGUUGAAAAUCAGGUCCUUUUAAUGUGUCUCAAGGUGGGUACCCCAAAACUGAGCCACUUAAAAUCACUAGCACUUCUGAAUGUUUGUGGUAUUUUCAAGUGCCUAUGUGGCUUAGGAACAUGAACCCCAUUGAGGGCAAGGGCUUGUGCUCCCGAGUCCCCUAUGUGUUUUUGAGAAUCCCACCCUUGUUCUGUAUCUCUUGCUGAAUACAUAGGAAGCUAAAUACAUACUAACUACAACUUUCAUGAUGAUAUUGCUUUGGACUAUGAGAUUGUAACAUGCAGUGAUGGAAGGCGUAUUGGAGCCUACUGUUCCCUCGCCGUGUGGGCAAUUAUUCACCUGCCACAACUCCUCCAUGCAGUGAAGAGAAGAAUAGACCUCUCCAUAUGAGUCAAGCUGUAAUACAUAUGGUACAAAGCUGGGGUGAGAACUGUAACCCAAGAAGGAGGAUCUGAUGUUGACAUAUGUGACAGUAAAAGAAAAUAAUCCUUUAAA